GACGAACGCUGGCGGCGUGCUUAACACAUGCAAGUCGAACGGUAAGGCCCUUCGGGGUACGACGAGUGGCGAACGGGUGAGUAACACGUGGGUGAUCUGCCCUGCACUUCGGGAUAAGCCUGGGAAACUGGGUCUAAUACCGGAUAGGACCAUGGACUUCACGGUUUGUGGUGGAAAAGCUUUUGCGGUGUGGGAUGGGCCCGCGGCCUAUCAGCUUGUUGGUGGGGUAAAUGGCCUACCAAGGCGACGACGGGUAGCCGGCCUGAGAGGGUGUCCGGCCACACUGGGACUGAGAUACGGCCCAGACUCCUACGGGGAGGCAGCAGUGGGGGAAUAUUGCACAAUGGGCGCAAGCCUGAUGCAGCGACGCCGCGUUGAGGGAUGACGGCCUUCGGGUUGUAAACCUCUUUCUAAUAGGGACGAAAGCGCAAG
This 432-nucleotide ribosomal RNA is filed under the name uncultured bacterium. Its description in RNAcentral is "bacterial SSU rRNA". It matches the Rfam family "Bacterial small subunit ribosomal RNA", at positions 28 to 457 of the family's 1533-position model. The record is from RNAcentral.